AUGUGUGCCUAUGCCUUAGAGACACAGUCUCUAUCAUUAUCAUCUGAGUCAUUGUCAGUAAUUAUCCAUUUCAUCAGCAUAGGUCUGUUUUGUUACCUUAUGGAAUUUUUUUUUUUAAACCUUGUUUAUAACAAGAGCUUUGUCUGUUUCUUUCCAGGUGUCCUUCUGCUAUUGACAAGAUGUUACUUAAAACUUCUUUUUUUUCUGUCAAUUGUUGACCUCUCACAAACAACAUUUAUUUACUGCAUGUUAGUAUUGUAUGGGCUUUUUGUCAGUAGGAAGCACAGCAUAAAAAGUUCCAAGAAAUGUUGUAUUUCAGAACAUAUAUCAUUUAUCCUGGCAUUGCUGCUGAGUUGAACCAAUGUUCCAACACUGAGACCAGAGUGGAGAUUCCAUCUUGCAAAACAGUGGGUUUUAUUUUGUUUGUUUGUUUUCUUUUCUGUUUGGAAAUUAUACAAAUGUCCUUUUUACUUGAGUAAAUUGCUCAGAAACUUCAAAAGUAGUCAGCUUCUGAUCUGAAUAACUAAAAAUGCAGUAUUUACAAGUUCUGCUAAUGAUUAUAUUUCUUCAUGAUUAACGUUUUUCAAAAUUAAUAGUAGUAGCCCACUAUAAUUUGUAGAACAAAAAUAUAAGUAUGCGUCCCAACAGAUUUUUUUUCUCUAGGUUUAAUCUGACCAUUUUAAAUAUUUGUUGAAUCACAUAGAUUUCCUUGAAGUGGCUUCUUAGUCACUAAUUAAUUUUUAUUUUUAUUUUUUUCUGAAAGUGAUUCUCACUGAGCAAAUAAGACUUUUGAUAUAUUUCUGAAAACUUCUAAAUUGUCUAAAGGGUGCAAAAACUGACAUCCCAGAUUUCAGGCUACUGAAGGGGAUGCUCUAAAUUACUGCAGUUUUGUCCCAGCUACUACAGGGUGUCUUUGAAACCAGGGCAGCCAAAUUUAAGAGAGCUGACUAACCUUCACUUCUAGCACAAAGCUUUCCGUAUUUCUGCAAUACUCUGGAGCUCCAGACCCAGUCAGUGGAGUUCUCUAGGCAUAGUACAGGGAGUAGGUUUCUGUGACUUACAACAAAUAUUUCAUCACAUGGACUAUUAGCAAAGUAAAUAUCAGAUAAGGUGAUGCUGGGCCAUCUUCCUACAUCUUACUCCGUCCCAUUCAUCACUCCCAUUCUAUGCCAGUUAUAUAUAGAAGGGAAAUAAACGUUCAGCUAGGUGGUUGUUCUACA
RNAcentral lists this long non-coding RNA (1220 nucleotides) under Anser cygnoides (Swan goose). RNAcentral describes it as "lncRNA (ENSACDG00005017154.1)". Lineage: Eukaryota; Metazoa; Chordata; Aves; Anseriformes; Anatidae. The record is from RNAcentral.